This 1493-nucleotide ribosomal RNA is filed under the name uncultured rumen bacterium. RNAcentral describes it as "16S ribosomal RNA". It matches the Rfam family "Bacterial small subunit ribosomal RNA". The record is from RNAcentral.
AGAGUUUGAUCCUGGCUCAGGAUGAACGCUAGCUACAGGCUUAACACAUGCAAGUCGAGGGGCAGCAUGUCAGUGGCUUGCCACUGAUGAUGGCGACCGGCGCACGGGUGAGUAACGCGUAUCCAACCUUCCCCCAAGUAGGGAAUAGCCCGGCGAAAGUCGGAUUAAUGCCCUAUGUUUUCCUUAUGUGAGCAUUCUGUGAGGAACAAAGAUUGAUCGCUUGGGGAUGGGGAUGCGUCUGAUUAGAUGGUAGGCGGGGCAACGGCCCACCUAGUCCGCGAUCAGUAGGGGUUCUGAGAGGAAGGUCCCCCACAUUGGAACUGAGACACGGUCCAAACUCCUACGGGAGGCAGCAGUGAGGAAUAUUGGUCAAUGGCCGGGAGGCUGAACCAGCCAAGUAGCGUGCGGGAUGACGGCCCUAUGGGUUGUAAACCGCUUUUGCCGGGGAAUAAAGUGGCCCACGCGUGGGUUUUUGCAUGUACCCGGAGAAUAAGGACCGGCUAAUUCCGUGCCAGCAGCCGCGGUAAUACGGAAGGUCCGGGCGUUAUCCGGAUUUAUUGGGUUUAAAGGGAGCGCAGGCCGUCGGCUAAGCGUGACGUGAAAUGCUGUGGCUCAACCUUAGCAGUGCGUCGCGAACUGGCCGGCUUGAGUGCACUCGAGGGACGCGGAAUUCGUGGUGUAGCGGUGAAAUGCUUAGAUAUCACGAAGAACUCCGAUUGCGAAAGGCAGCGUCCCCAGUGUGUAACUGACGCUAAAGCUCGAAAGUGCGGGUAUCGAACAGGAUUAGAUACCCUGGUAGUCCGCACGGUAAACGAUGGAUGCCCGCUGUUGGCGACACACUGUCAGCGGCCAAGCGAAAGCGUUAAGCAUCCCACCUGGGGAGUACGCCGGCAACGGUGAAACUCAAAGGAAUUGACGGGGGCCCGCACAAGCGGAGGAACAUGUGGUUUAAUUCGAUGAUACGCGAGGAACCUUACCCGGGCUUGAACUGCAGGUGAACGAUCCAGAGAUGGUGAGGUCAGCAAUGACUCCUGCGGAGGUGCUGCAUGGUUGUCGUCAGCUCGUGCCGUGAGGUGUCGGCUUAAGUGCCAUAACGAGCGCAACCCCUGUCUCCAGUUGCCAUCAGGCGAUGCUGGGCACUCUGGAGAUACUGCCACCGUAAGGUGCGAGGAAGGUGGGGAUGACGUCAAAUCAGCACGGCCCUUACGUCCGGGGCUACACACGUGUUACAAUGGGUGGUACAGAGAGUCGGUCGCGUGCAAAUGCGAUCCAAUCCUUAAAGCCGCCCUCAGUUCGGAUUGGGGUCUGCAACCCGACCCCAUGAAGCUGGAUUCGCUAGUAAUCGCGCAUCAGCCAUGGCGCGGUGAAUACGUUCCCGGGCCUUGUACACACCGCCCGUCAAGCCAUGAAAGCCGGGGGCGCUUGAAGUCCGUGACCGCGAGGAUCGGCCUAGAGCGAAACUGGUAAUUGGGGCUAAGUCGUAACAAGGUAGC